GCUUGACAUGCUCACAGAUACUAAAACUGGGACAAUCCAGAAAAGAUCAGCACAGCCCCUACUCCAGGAUGAUGUGCAAAUUCAUGAACUGUUACAUACUAAA
Sorex araneus (European shrew) is the source of this 103-nucleotide small nuclear RNA. NCBI's taxonomy places the organism in Eukaryota, Metazoa, Chordata, Mammalia, Eulipotyphla, Soricidae. The record is from RefSeq and is a predicted model, not a curated record.